AUUGAACGCUGGCGGCAUGCCUUACACAUGCAAGUCGAACGGCAGCACGGGAGCUUGCUCCUGGUGGCGAGUGGCGAACGGGUGAGUAAUACAUCGGAACGUACCCUGAAGUGGGGGAUAACGUAGCGAAAGUUACGCUAAUACCGCAUAUUCUGUGAGCAGGAAAGAGGGGGAUCGCAAGACCUCUUGCUUUAGGAGCGGCCGAUGUCGGAUUAGCUAGUUGGUGAGGUAAAGGCUCACCAAGGCGACGAUCCGUAGCGGGUCUGAGAGGAUGAUCCGCCACACUGGGACUGAGACACGGCCCAGACUCCUACGGAGGCAGCAGUGGGGAAUUUUGGACAAUGGGCGCAAGCCUGAUCCAGCCAUGCCGCGUGAGUGAAGAAGGCC
RNAcentral lists this ribosomal RNA (387 nucleotides) under uncultured bacterium. Its description in RNAcentral is "bacterial SSU rRNA". It matches the Rfam family "Bacterial small subunit ribosomal RNA", at positions 30 to 416 of the family's 1533-position model. The record is from RNAcentral.